Molecule: long non-coding RNA, 427 nt
Organism: Gallus gallus (chicken)
Lineage: Eukaryota; Metazoa; Chordata; Aves; Galliformes; Phasianidae
Source: Ensembl
CUCCUCUUUUGCUUCUCACAGUUUACACUUUCCUGACCUGACAAUAUCUUGUUUUCUUCUUCUAAUUUACUACUGUUUUCCUGUAUGUUAAAUGUACAGAUAGUUGUUUUUUCACAUUUUUUCCAAUUGAAAAUUUAAAAGGACUUUGAGAUCAUAGAAAGGUUCCUUAAAAGGGGAAAUGAGCAAUUUGAGAAGGAAUCACUGAAGCUCUAUGUUCACAUACAUGAUGGCAAGGAGUGAUGAAUCAGUCAUAUCUUCCAUACUUCAGUGAAAUGACCAUCUCUCUCCAGGGAAGUGAAAUUAUGGUCACACAUCUUUAGUUCAUGCGUCAAUAACAACUACAUUUUAAUGUUUCUUGAGGCCUCCAACAAUUAAAAGGUUUUGCUGUUGAUGUUGUUUUUUGUUUGUUUGUUUGUUUGCUUGACAG